This is a small nuclear RNA of Alexandromys fortis (reed vole), 107 nucleotides long. The record is from RefSeq and is a predicted model, not a curated record. NCBI's taxonomy places the organism in Eukaryota, Metazoa, Chordata, Mammalia, Rodentia, Cricetidae.
GUGUUUGCUUUGGCAACACAUAUACUAAAAUUAGAACAAUACAGAGAAGAUUAGCAUGGCCCCUGUGCAAGUAUGACAUGCAAAUUCAUGAAGCAUUCCAUAUUUUU